This 492-nucleotide ribosomal RNA is filed under the name uncultured bacterium. RNAcentral's name for it is "partial 16S ribosomal RNA". It matches the Rfam family "Bacterial small subunit ribosomal RNA", at positions 29 to 507 of the family's 1533-position model. The record is from RNAcentral.
AGUGAACGCUGGCGGUAGGCCUAACACAUGCAAGUCGAACGGCAGCACAGUAAGAGCUUGCUCUUACGGGUGGCGAGUGGCGGACGGGUGCGGAAUACAUCGGAAGCUACUUUUUCGUGGGGGAUAACGUAGGGAAACUUACGCUAAUACCGCAUACGACCUACGGGUGAAAGCAGGGGAUCUUCGGACCUUGCGCGAUUGAAUGAGCCGAUGUCGGAUUAGCUAGUUGGCGGGGUAAAGGCCCACCAAGGCGACGAUCCGUAGCUGGUCUGAGAGGAUGAUCAGCCACACUGGAACUGAGACACGGUCCAGACUCCUACGGGAGGCAGCAGUGGGGAAUAUUGGACAAUGGGCGCAAGCCUGAUCCAGCCAUACCGCGUGGGUGAAGAAGGCCUUCGGGUUGUAAAGCCCUUUUGUUGUGAAAGAAAAGCAGCAGGUUAAUACCCCGCUGUUCUGACGGUACCCAAAGAAUAAGCACCGGCUAACUUCGUG